CGCGUAGGAACCUACCUAGUAGUUUGGGAUAGCCAUUGGAAACGAUGAUUAAUACCGGAUACGCCCCACGGGGGAAAGCAGAGGAUCUUCGGACUUUGCGCUAUUAGAUGGGCCUGCGUGAGAUUAGAUUGUUGGUGAGGUAAUGGCUCACCAAGUCCACGAUCUCUAGCUGGUCUGAGAGGAUGAUCAGCCACACUGGAACUGAGACACGGUCCAGACUCCUACGGGAGCAGCAGUGGGGAAUAUUGCACAAUGGGCGCAAGCCUGAUGCAGCCAUGCCGCGUGUGUGAAGAAGGCUCU
Molecule: ribosomal RNA, 300 nt
Filed under: uncultured Oceanospirillaceae bacterium
Lineage: Bacteria; Pseudomonadati; Pseudomonadota; Gammaproteobacteria; Oceanospirillales; Oceanospirillaceae
Description: bacterial SSU rRNA
Rfam family: Bacterial small subunit ribosomal RNA
Source: RNAcentral